UACGUAGGGGGCUAGCGUUAUCCGGAAUUACUGGGCGUAAAGGGUGCGUAGGCGGAAGAUUAAGUCGGUGGUGAAAUUUUGCAGCUCAACUGUAAAAGUGCCAUUGAUACUGGUUUUCUUGAGUGUGGAUGAAGUAGGCGGAAUUUGUGGUGUAGCGGUGAAAUGCAUAGAUAUCACGAGGAACUCCGAUUGCGCAGGCAGCUUACUAAACUACUACUGACGCUCAGGCACGAAGGCGUGGGGAUCAAACAGGAUUAGAUACCCCUGUA
RNAcentral lists this ribosomal RNA (269 nucleotides) under uncultured prokaryote. RNAcentral's name for it is "partial 16S ribosomal RNA". It matches the Rfam family "Bacterial small subunit ribosomal RNA", at positions 524 to 792 of the family's 1533-position model. The record is from RNAcentral.